ACGCGAGGAGUUAGAGAGCAACCAGGCUGCCUGGCUGUCCCAGGCAGAAAAGUACGAGAACUCACACCUGGGCGGUUACCGGCGCAUUUAUCCAGCAUGUGGAACAGAGAAGUAUGAGCCGUUUUUCAAGCAGAGUGGCUCCCUCUUCCAGGAAACAGUGUCAUCCAAAGCACGAGAGGAGUGUGCCAGGUAUACUGCCCCUGUGGAAAACCCACUCCUCACAGGGGUGGCAUAGAGCCUGCUUGCUUAUGAUCCCUUCUUGGGAGCAACUCUGCUGCUUACAGAUGUAAGCAAGCUAGUGAGAGGUGGAAAGGAAGGAGUCUGCAUGUGCUGUGUCACCAUAGCAAAGCAACUUCCUUUCGCAUGUAGCCUUGAGAGGCAAAUGCAAUAUUCCAUUGACUUUUGGACUCUGGCAGCACCGUAUCGCAAGUGUCCUCCACCCUUCUGGCCGGCACAGCCUAAUUCAAGGGCAUGUCUCACAGUGGUGAGAGUCUCUUUUAAAAGCACUCCUGGCCUAUUUCUUGGCACAAUUCUAUUAUAGUCUAUUCCCUACAGAACUUCUGACUGCAGUAAAAUGUCCUCAGAUUGAAGGCUUCAUAAUAGCCUUUUACUAUUAUGGCUCUUCUCGUACCAGUGACUAAGGCUACUGUUGUAUGGCAGGCAGCAACUGGAGGAAAUUCGCCUGAAGAAAGAAAAGUUGGAAGCCAUUACCAGGAAGAAGAAAACAGAGAGGAAAGAAGACCUGCAUGGAGAGUCAGCCGGGGACAAAUCCCAGAUCCGUAAUAAAACCACAGCUCCUAUGACCCGCCUCACUUAUAGAAGCACCAGGACGUGGGAUAGAAAGCUACGGCGCAUGCAGUACGACUCUAUGCAACCCCAGGAUAUUGUGGAAGAUGAGGAGAAGAAAAGAGUAAAUGCUCUUCUGCAGCGUGAGAACCUUAUCAGAGGCCUGGGCAUCAUAGAUCAGCUCUCCCAGCUGCUCCCCACAACUGAUAGACCAGCUGACACCCAGAGAUCCUGCACUGUUAUCCCCAAGCACCAGCAGUUUCUCUGGGAGGUGCCUGGGGGCCAGGAGACCCACUGCUUAACAACGCGCAACUCCCUCUCGCUCCUGGGAGGUCCAGUCCGAUCUUCAGGACGGCAGUUCAUACACAAUGCCAGAGCCAACGCCAAGCUGCCAGCCGGCCCAGGCUCGGAUCCUGCUGCCAAAGGCACCCUCUCCAUUCGAGGCCAGAGCAUCCCUUACCACAAGCGGGGCCUCCGGGCGCAGGACACAGGCUGGCUGCGGGGCCAGGCAGCACGGAUGGCAGCGGUUACCCAGCCCUGCACCAAACCCAAGAGGCUGCAGGCAGGAGGCCAGUGGCUCCCUGGCACUGGAAACAAGGCUGAAGGCUGUGAAGGUGGCAGGCUGUCCUUCCACGCAGGCAGCUGUCACCCGGGGUCCCCAGCCAGCACAGGGAAUGCCACAGCCGAUGGCACCUUCACCCGGGUUCCCCAGCCAGCACGGGGAAUGCCACAGCCGAUGGCACCUUCAGCUGUGCUGCAGUCCAGGAGCAAACCAUCUCCUCCGCCACCCACGUGCAGCACACGCGUGCCUCGCACCGUGCUGGUGCCUCACACGCUCGCAGCGUGA
Long non-coding RNA from Aquila chrysaetos chrysaetos, 1633 nucleotides. The record is from Ensembl. NCBI's taxonomy places the organism in Eukaryota, Metazoa, Chordata, Aves, Accipitriformes, Accipitridae.